GGAAGUAAAAGUCGCAACAAGGUCUCCGUUGGUGAACCAGCGGAGGGAUCAUUACCGAGUUUACAACUCCCAAACCCCUAUGUGAACGUUACCAAACUGUUGCCUCGGCGGGAAAUUUAUGCCCCGGGCGCGUCGCAGCCCCGGACCAAGGCGCCCGCCGGAGGACCAACCAAAACUCUUUUGUAUGUCCCUCGCGGACUUUUAUAAUUCUGAACCAUCUCGGCGCCCCUAGCGGGCGUUUCGAAAAUGAAUCAAAACUUUCAACAACGGAUCUCUUGGUUCUG
This 284-nucleotide unclassified non-coding RNA is filed under the name plant metagenome. RNAcentral describes it as "partial contains small subunit ribosomal RNA, internal transcribed spacer 1, and 5.8S ribosomal RNA". The stretch from base 1 to 54 matches the Rfam family "Eukaryotic small subunit ribosomal RNA", at positions 1778 to 1831 of the family's 1831-position model. The record is from RNAcentral.